Pan troglodytes (chimpanzee) is the source of this 3339-nucleotide long non-coding RNA. RefSeq lists it as uncharacterized. The record is from RefSeq and is a predicted model, not a curated record. The transcript has 3 exons. Lineage: Eukaryota; Metazoa; Chordata; Mammalia; Primates; Hominidae.
AGCUCACAGUGGCUGUCUGUGCUUUUGUCCAAAAGUGCUGAAGUGUAAGGUUGAAGAUAAUGAUACUGGAGAAGGACUCAUCCCAAAUCACCCGUCGGUGGCAGAGCCUGGACAAACCUAUGUCUCCUCCCUUCACUCGUUUGGGGUUGUUGCUGGACUGCAGGGACUCGAAGGGCCCAGGAGAGACUAAAAGCUAUGAAGGAAUUUGAUGUGGGGAACCCCAACAGAGCCAAGAAGGUACCCAGAGACUUUAGAAACUAUAGGGACUUACUUCUCAGGACCCCUUUGAAGCCUAGACCUAAGAGGAUGAUUUGAUGUUGAGACAGCAUGACAUGCAGAGUGACUCAAUCCAACAGAAUGCUAAGUCUCAGUGAGCUGUCACCCCAUUCUGCACCAGAUGAAUAACUCUGCAACACUCAGAUGAUUGUGACCUCCUCCUGCCGUGCCUGCCCACAUGUCACCAGUAGAAGCAAGAAUGAACAUUUGUGAAAAAAUUAGUCUGCAUUGUCAAUUGUCAUCCUGGAGAGAAAAUGACUUGAUCUUCAGUGAUAACAGGAAUAUUACCAUCUUUCAGCCCCAUCUCAUUUUUCUUCACUUACUCAGAGUCUUACUCAGCGACCUAAUACUGAGUCUACUGAUGUCUUCACCUGCAAGAGCAACCUCCUUCCCAAAUCAGUUCCCACUCCUAACAGGAGCAGAGGCAAUAUCAGUAGCCCUUUUUUAUUUUUUUUCCUGAGACAGAGUCUUGCUCUGUCGCCCAGGCUGGAGUGCAGUGGCACAAUCUCGGUUUACUGCAACCUCUGCCUCCCGGGUUUGAGCGAUUCCCCUGCCUCAGCCUCCUGAGUAACUGGGAUUACAGGCACGUGCCACCAUGCCUGGCUGAUUUUUUGUAGUUUUAGUAGAGAUGGGGUUUCACCAUGUUGGUCAGGCUGGUCAAUUCCUGACCUCGUGAUCCACCCACCUCCCAAAGUGCUGGGAUUACAGGCAUGAGCCACUGUGCCCAGCCGCCUUUUUUGUUCUCUUCCUUGAUCUUAGGAGUUUAGGAAAUGAUCACACUCCCAGAUCCAAGAUCUGGUGUUCUACCCUCAAAGCCAAUGGACUCACAAGAUCCCACCAAGCAGAUCUGAAUGAUCUAGGACUAAUAAUGCAGGCUCUGAAGUUAGAGAGACUUAGAGUCAAAUCUGAACUCUGCCACUUAACCUUGCACAAGGCCAGUGUCUCAAUUAGGUUAGUAUAGUCAACAAUGCUAAAUAAGAAAAUUCAUUUCUCGGCUGGGCACGGUGGUUCACACCUAUAAUCCCAGCACUUUGCGAGGCCGAGGCAGGCGGAUCACGAGGUCAGGAGUUCAAGACCAGCCUGGUCAACAUGGUAAAACCCUGUCUCUGCUAAAAUACAAAAAUUAGCUGGGCGUGAUGGGACAUGCCUGUAAUCCCAGCUACUCGGGAGGCUGAGGCAGGAGAAUUGCUUGAACUCAGGAGGCAGAGGCUGCAGUGAGACCAGAUGGCACCACUGCACUCCAGCCUAGGCGACAGAGCAAGACUCCAUCUCAAAAAAAGAAAAUUAAUUUCUCAUCACAAUAUAUGUCCAACAUAGGUUAGUGGAAGGCAGUGCUCCAUAUUAUUACUCAAGAACCCAGGCUGAAAAAGGUUCCAUCUUAUAAUGUCACCAUCACAACACAUGGUGUUCAGGGAUACUAAGACAGGGGAAAGAUGAGGGGUGGGCCAAGUUUGAGGUUUUAACCAUCUCAUCCCAGAAAUGAUACAAUGGCAUUCCAGUUUUGGUCCAUUGGCUAGAACUAGUCAUGUAGCCCUGCCAACCUGCAAGGGCCUAAGAAUCAUCACCUUCCUUAUUACCAGAAAGUGGAGGAGAACUGGAUAUGAGUAAAUAAUUUUACUGCAGCCCAGCACACAGAGUGUGAUACUACUGUGUAGUUACUUUCUUCCUUCAAGUUUCCUGUAGGUCCAAUAGACCAAGGAUUCAUUAAGCUAAGGAAGGGCCCUGUUGUUUGUAUAACCACCCAUCAGAAGACUCUAUCCCCCAUGUCACCCUCAACCUCAAUGCCACUCCACAAUGAACAGGCUCAGUUCACCAGCAUGGGCUUAUGACCUAGGCUUUUCUUCCUAGCCAGUCUUGCCCUAUUGUCCUGCUUGAUUUUUUGGCCUGCCCCUCUAAGCUUGAGCCUUAUCCUAAUAAGAAACUUUGUAGGACUGGAAGCUUCAUAUCUUGUUCAGCUCUUGCCAGUUCUCCUUAUGAGCAGUCAAUCAAUGUUUUAGCAGUGGAGCCAUCUUGGAUCCUCAAACUUCUUGGAGGCCAAAGGGCUAAACAAUUCCCAGUCACAGUGAAUUUGCUGCCAAAGAUACACUCACUCAGCCUUUCCAAGGAAGUGACUGGAUAUGUAAAAAAGGGUUAUGUACAAAGAUGUUUAUUGAAACAUUAUUUGUAAUAGCAAAAUAUUGGGAAUAACCUAAAUGUCCACCAAAGGAGAAUGCUUAUAAAUAUGAAUCAUCCACAUGAUGGAUGUAUAAGUUAUGCCUGCCAAGUUCAUCAGGGUAAACGGAAGAGACAAAAUCAGAUUAUUUAUUAGGAUGGAGUUGAUUUCCUAACACAGUGGGACCUGCUUUCAUUUUGUUUGCCCUGCAGUUCUACUAUCCCAGAUUUUAUUUAUUCAUUUCAGGGCCAUUCUAUAGGCAGCAUCUCCACUGGGCAGCCAGGGCCCAGCUCAUGUGUAGUUGGGUAGCCUUUGCUACUGCAUUGGUCCCCAAUCCAAUCAUCUAUGAUUAGGGGAGCGGCUAGCUCUCCUCAAAAGUAGAGAAGGUUGUCCUGGCCUCUAAUGAAUUAUCCUUUAGUCGGUCUAAUUCAGUGAAAUAUUAUGUACCCUUUAAAAAUUGUAUUUACCAGAAGUUUUUAAUGACCUGGAAAAGUAUGCAGGAAAUAUCGUUAGGUUUUUAAAAUUUAUAAAAUUGAAUCUAUACUCUGACAUGUGUCAUAACAUAAAUUAACCUUAAAAGACAGACGCGGUGGCUAACGCCUGUAAUCCCAGCACUUUGGGAGGCCAAGGCGGGUGGAUCACCUGAGGUCAGGAGUUCAAGACCAGAGUGGCCAACAUGGCAAAACCCCAUCUCUACUAACAAUACAAAAUUAGUGGGGCAUGGUGGUCUGAACCUAUAAUCCCAGCUACUCCAUAAGCUGAGGCAUGAGAAUUGCUUGAACCCGGGGGGCAGAGGUUGCAGUGAGCUAAGAUCGUGCCACUUCACACUAGCCUGGGCAAAAGAGCGAAACUCUAUCUCAAAAUAAAUAAAUAAAUAAAAAUAAAUGAACCAAGUGAAAUAAGCCAAUCAA